RNAcentral lists this long non-coding RNA (1810 nucleotides) under Anthonomus grandis grandis. RNAcentral describes it as "uncharacterized LOC126738555". The record is from RNAcentral. Lineage: Eukaryota; Metazoa; Arthropoda; Insecta; Coleoptera; Curculionidae.
UAUAAAUAUUCACAUUUAUUAACAGUUAUUUAUAAUUUCAAUGAACAAUUUAAAAUGGAGUUAAAUAUCGUUGUGCCAAGUAGCCUUUUAAAAAGCAUCUUUUUUGUAAAUAAAUUUAAUAAGUUAAACGAUUUUCUCUAGAAAAAUUGUCCUUCUUUUUCAAAGUAGAGCACUGCUAAUUUUUUGGAUCUACACUCAAAUUAUGUUUUUUAGAAGUCUUCACUAAAUGCUCCAUAUCACCUUUUAUGGGUUGCUUUACAAGCAUCCAUCCUCGUACUACCCCAGUACAAAUUAUACUGUAUUCAGAUUGCCCCGAUCAUGUUACAAAUAACUGCAACCUUCCAUCUAAACAAUUUUUACACGUACCGAUUUUUUGGAGAAUCCUAUGUAAGAAAAGGGCUAGUAAAAGCUUAUGAAUGGUGGUAUCAAAAGCCUUGUAGUAAUUCAGAAAUACCAAAGCAGUAAUUUUUCCAGCAUCAUUCUUUUUUAAGCAUUAGCUAAUGCACAGGAGCAGCAAUAUUCUAAAUGUAUUUAGACCAUGAGGCCUGGAUGGUUAAUACAAAAAAUGGGAAACGAUUUUCUGAGGCUGUGGGGUUACUACCAGAUUAAAGCUGCCUCAAGCCAAUUCAGAAAAGAUAUCCCGGUGAUUUUAUAGAGCAGUGACCCGCACCAAUUAUUGACUUAUUAUCAAUCCUAUCCAGCAAAACUAUUUCCGACUCCUUAGCUUACGCUUAAAGAGGAGUCACCUUAGAUACAUCCAAAAAAUUGGUCAAACCUUCUGUAGUUAAAUGCACCCUUAAACCUAUGACCUCAUCCAAAAUGAAGAGCUUAUAUUGGCAUAUUCGCAUAGUUUACCCUAUAUCUCUGCUUCCCAACCAGAAUUAUCCUACUAUGGAGCCUACUAAUGCCACAAUUAUGCACAAUAUUAAGUAUGCCAGAGUAAAUCCGAGGUGUUCCAGAGCUGGACAGUCUAGCUCAUGUGGAAAAAGCAGAAAGGAGCAAUCACUUGUUUUAACUGGAUACCCUGGAGUAUCUUGUGGUCAGUUUGUGCCUUCUAAAGGAGAUUGUGAUGUGAUUUACUGGAAAAUGUAUAUGGUGAUAUGCUGGCUCAAUUUGGAACAAAAACCGAUUUCCUGAAGCUAUGGGGUUACUACCAGACUGAAGUUGCCUCACGCCUAUGCAGCAAAGCUAGCAAAGAUAUUUCGGCGAUUUUAUGGAGAACUGACCUGAUAAAAUAGGAAAAUGUCACGAGCCUAGUGUGGGAUAUGUCUGGUAACUUGAAUGUUUUAACGACAUUACUUAGCAAAGGUUACAAUAUCUUACUGAGUAAUUACAGUGCCACCUAAUUUUUUUUUGCUUCUUGGGUCUGCUCUCAAAAUUACUGUGUGUACCCCACCAUGCCAAGGAUGGUAAUGGGCAAGAAAAAUUGCUAGAAACAGGUGGCAUAACUGAUCUCUGGACAGAACAAGCUGGAUCUACUUCAGUUGAUAAUAAAUUGUGGUCUAGGGCAGCUGCUAAUGAGGAAACCCUCUGUACUAACCCCAAACUACUCAGAAGUAGAAGAAAGGAUGUUGAUCCAAUGAUAUUGACUGUUGAAGUUGGGGAUUGAUGCUACUGAAAUUAAACCAGAGUGGUGCAGAAGAUAUCAACAAUAUUGUCCAAUUUCGAAGAGUUUGAUGCGUGAUAUGUUAAAUAAAAAAAAGGUUUUAAGUGUUCAUGUUGUUUAAUAAAUGUGUCAAUCCAAUUCAACCUUGCUAUCUAUCAAAAACAUUUACGAUUCACCUGCUUAUGCUUGGAAAGGAUUUAUCUU